GACGAACGCUGGCGGCGUGCUUAACACAUGCAAGUCGAGCGGGAUCCAACCGGUGGCAACACCGGGGAAGAUCUAGCGGCGAACGGGUGAGUAACACGUGAGCAACCUGCCCCGAAGACUGGGAUAACACCGGGAAACCGGUGCUAAUACCGGAUGUCGUCAUUAGGCCGCAUGACCUGAUGAUGAAAGGAUUCAUCGCUUCGGGAGGGGCUCGCGGGCUAUCAGCUUGUUGGUGGGGUAACGGCCUACCAAGGCGACGACGGCUAGCUGGUCUGAGAGGACGACCAGCCACACUGGGACUGAGACACGGCCCAGACUCCUACGGGAGGCAGCAGUGGGAAUCUUGCGCAAUGGGCGAAAAGCCUGACGCAGCAACGCCGCGUGGGGGA
This 389-nucleotide ribosomal RNA is filed under the name uncultured bacterium. RNAcentral's name for it is "bacterial SSU rRNA". It matches the Rfam family "Bacterial small subunit ribosomal RNA", at positions 28 to 408 of the family's 1533-position model. The record is from RNAcentral.